GUGUACCCCAGCGGACUACCAGCCUGGGCCGCAUGACAUUCCUACUGCAUCUGUGACAAACCACUAUAAACUCAGUGUCUUCAAAGACUUUAACCACACAGUCUUCCAAGUCAACCACAGGCCUUACUGGGGUGAAGUCAGGGGUCAGCAGUUCUGUUCCACUUGGGAGGCUGGAGGGGAGCUGGUCUGUUGUCUUACUCUCCCAUCUCAGAACGUGGCAUAUUCCUUGCCAGGGCCCUCUUACUCCAUCCUUGAGCCAGCAGUGCUGGGUGUCCUCCAAACCCACAUCUCCCUGACCACAGACAGCAAGGGACUCUGCUUUGAAGGCUUCUGGUCCAGCCCGGGUGCAUCUCAAGGCGCCUGACCUACUUCUUCUGCCAAGCCCAUUUCAACCCAAGCUGUUCAGUCUCAGCAGCAAACGCAUUCUUCUGCUUUACGAGGCCGUGAUGCUGACUUGGACAAUGCGUAAUUCGGGAGUAACUGAGGCUACGCAAUCCCAUUCGGACUCAACAGGAACGAGCUAUGAACGAAGGAUGAACUGUACAGCACGAGGCAGCACCCCUGCUGGAGCUCGAGUUGCACUGUCAGAGCACAGACGUCACUCUGGAUGGGAUGGGCCCGAGUGGCCGACUGACUGGGCAGAAGAUGCUUCCAGGGGGACAAGGCUCUGAGCUAGACUCCCAGAGGGCAGCGGGGCAGGUGGGGAAGGAACCGAAGGGAGGGAAUGGGAGAGUUGUCCAAGCUGACAAAUGGG
RNAcentral lists this long non-coding RNA (754 nucleotides) under Mus spicilegus (steppe mouse). Its description in RNAcentral is "lncRNA (ENSMSIG00000028986.1)". Lineage: Eukaryota; Metazoa; Chordata; Mammalia; Rodentia; Muridae. The record is from RNAcentral.